Molecule: ribosomal RNA, 253 nt
Filed under: uncultured bacterium
Lineage: Bacteria
Description: partial 16S ribosomal RNA
Rfam family: Bacterial small subunit ribosomal RNA
Source: RNAcentral
UACGGAGGAUCCGAGCGUUAUCCGGAUUUAUUGGGUUUAAAGGGUGCGUAGGCGGGAUUUUAAGUCAGUGGUGAAAGUUUGCAGCUCAACUGUAAAAUUGCCAUUGAAACUGAAGUUCUUGAGUACAAAUGAGGUAGGCGGAAUGUGUUGUGUAGCGGUGAAAUGCUUAGAUAUAACACAGAACACCAAUUGCGAAGGCAGCUUACUGGCAUGUAACUGACGCUGAUGCACGAAAGCGCGGGGAGCAAACAGG